This 575-nucleotide ribosomal RNA is filed under the name Leuconostoc mesenteroides. RNAcentral's name for it is "bacterial SSU rRNA". It matches the Rfam family "Bacterial small subunit ribosomal RNA", at positions 71 to 632 of the family's 1533-position model. The record is from RNAcentral. Lineage: Bacteria; Bacillati; Bacillota; Bacilli; Lactobacillales; Lactobacillaceae.
GAAAGGUGCUUGCACCUUUCAAGUGAGUGGCGAACGGGUGAGUAACACGUGGACAACCUGCCUCAAGGCUGGGGAUAACAUUUGGAAACAGAUGCUAAUACCGAAUAAAACUUAGUGUCGCAUGACACAAAGUUAAAAGGCGCUUCGGCGUCACCUAGAGAUGGAUCCGCGGUGCAUUAGUUAGUUGGUGGGGUAAAGGCCUACCAAGACAAUGAUGCAUAGCCGAGUUGAGAGACUGAUCGGCCACAUUGGGACUGAGACACGGCCCAAACUCCUACGGGAGGCUGCAGUAGGGAAUCUUCCACAAUGGGCGAAAGCCUGAUGGAGCAACGCCGCGUGUGUGAUGAAGGCUUUCGGGUCGUAAAGCACUGUUGUAUGGGAAGAACAGCUAGAAUAGGAAAUGAUUUUAGUUUGACGGUACCAUACCAGAAAGGGACGGCUAAAUACGUGCCAGCAGCCGCGGUAAUACGUAUGUCCCGAGCGUUAUCCGGAUUUAUUGGGCGUAAAGCGAGCGCAGACGGUUUAUUAAGUCUGAUGUGAAAGCCCGGAGCUCAACUCCGGAAUGGCAUUGGAAA